UAGGUUCAUUCCGACCCGAGCGUUGCGGAAACGAGGUUUACCGAGUUUCCGCAAAUCACCCUGCGCGAGGGUCGGGAUGAACCUAUCUUACACGAGCGGCUAUGGUAGAUGCUUUUUCUCCCACCUCAGUUAAACAAAAUUAAGUAAAAAUGUGUUGUUGUUUUCCUGGAACUCUUUUGUACUUAGUGAAAACAAUUGCGCAUGGAUAUUUGAUAAUUCGUGGUUGUUAUGGAUAUUCGUGCAGUGAUUCCGAUUAUUUUAAUAGUUAAAUAGUUCUAAUGAGAAUGAAGCAUUAUUUCUCGAAAGGUGGGUGAAAACUGUUUUAUGGUAACAUUUGAAGCGAGAAAUUAUUAAUAAUCGUUAUAAAUAUUGCCUUAAGACAUGGUUAUCAUGAUGCUACAGACGACAUUCUUCAAUUGACCUUACGACAGGAUUUGUUUGACAGGUCCUAUCAGCCAAUCAGAAUGCAGGGCUGAUAAGCCGUGUUGCUAUCCGCCAUUUUGUCCGUCAAACUGACCAGAGUCCGUCAUAUACAUGCUCUGGCAAUUCCUCGCCUUUUUAAGUAUUAUGGUAAAAAGGUGUUGUCAUGGACUUGUAAUUGGAUACAAGGUAGCCAGGCCGACUAAAGAUGGCUUCCAAUUCGUUCCGUAUUCGAAACCAGCGAGUUAUUUAGAAAAAUACAAGUGCUGUAUCAGACUCUGUGGAAGACCUCAUCUACAGCUGAACUUGGAAAUUUUGAAAGAUCGUUCAACGGCGAAACAUCUAUACGUCUGUACAAAAGUAUUUUUUUGAACAAAACUACUUAUUUCAAUCCGCUCAAAAUUUAUUUAAUACUGAAAUUGUCCGUGCAUGACCUAAAUAAGUGUUACUAUUUUUAAACUAUAAACAUCGUGCAUUUAUGCUUUGGCUUGUGUUGUCAAAUCGGUAUUAAUGGCCAUUUAAUAUCAGGUUCAACAUGGACACGAUUGAUUUCAUUCAAGAUAGAGGUAUUUUUGUUGAUACCGUUAUGUAGUUUUUAUAAACUGCUUUGCUUUCAAAGUAAAUCAGGAAAUAUCGUACAACUAAAUUUUUGUCCGAACCAUCGCAUGCUUCCGAAUCUCAUCUACUCGUAUGGUUCCUAUGUAAACAAUGGCUUUUGUAGCUGUCAUUCCGACACAUUUCAUAGAUUUCUUAUUUUCAUAUCAGCACUUUGUCGACGGGAAAUCCAAUCAAGAAAACCCUGACCCCCAAGCAGCUACUGUAUUUGACCAGCUCACACCAGCUAGGCCUCCUCCAAAACUCAGAUAAAUAUUUGAGCCACCAAAAAAAACAAAACGAGAACAGAUCGGUCUGAAUCGUUAAGACCUGAAGCUAACAUCAUAGAGGUACAUCCUUCCAAGAAUCCAUCAAAACAACAUGCUGAACAACUUCAAGAACUCUCUUCAAAAGACCACACUUUCCUGAAAUAAAUAAAAGAUGCCAAUAUUAAAAUAAAUCAGUUACAUGUAUUGUUAAAUAUUUUAAUACUAGCUGUAAAUGCUACUGCCUUUGAUGUUACUGCCUUUGAUGUUUGCUUCCAUGUAUAUCAUAAUGAAAUAUUGACAAGAUAAUAGCUAAUGUUU
Molecule: long non-coding RNA, 1601 nt
Organism: Mya arenaria
Lineage: Eukaryota; Metazoa; Mollusca; Bivalvia; Myida; Myidae
Exons: 2
Source: RefSeq, a predicted model, not a curated record